CGCCUUUCUUUCCUCUACCAGCAAAUUGUCAGAACACGGCCAAGGUGGAGCCAAAAUGGCGGUCCUGCCACCCCUUAUGAUGAUAUGCUGCUGAUCCAUUUUCAGACAGAUGUGACUUAACCCCUUUACAGGACUGACUGAUACAAUUAUAAUGUGUGUUUGCGUGUGCCUGGGGCUCCUCCGGAUGUGCCCGUGUGUUGAUGACCUCCUCGAUCCAGCUCCUGAAGCGACUGACUCGAGUGUAGAGCGCGGGAGAGGAGGGGUCGGCACAGCCGUAACCCCCAGCAACGACCCCGGUGAGGACCCAUCGGCCCGUCUCCCCCUGACACACCAGCCCGCCUCCAGAGUUGCCCUGACAGCUGUCGUCAUGGAGUAGGCUGGUGUCUGGAGGACUGCCAGCACACAGCGUGCCGUGGCUGGAGAAGCUGUCGCCAUAUCGCUUCUUACAUUGCCAUGAGGACAUCAGAGGGACCCAGGAUGCAAGAACGGAGUCUACAAGAGAGGAUGGACGAGAUGAUUAAAGGAGUGGCAUGUCACAGAUGCUGAAACAGUACACUAGAGGAAAAAACCCAUACCUGGUCCUGUCCAGCCAGCAGUGAUCAUUACAACACAGGAGGAUGGAGUGCUCCCCCCUGAUGUGUCUGCAUCGGGAAGGCAUGCUGCGUUGGUGUUGGGGUCAAAGGUCCCACAGUGACCCUUGGUGCUGGGUAGCUUCAACAAAGCCAGAUCGUGACCUCCGCUCUGACCUUUGAACUUCCUGUGAACCACCACCUGCUCCGGGGUCAGAGUCUGCUCUGAGGCCCCGACACGCACCACGUACCUGGACGGAUCGCUGCCAAACCUGCAGGAGGGAGGAGACGUACGUGAGGGAGUUGUACUCAACAGUGGUCCCACUAAAGAUGCCUGACCUGAUUCAUAGUUCAGCUACCUGCUAACACAGUAUGCAGACGUCAGGGCCCAGCAGGGGCUGAUCAGGGUGCCGCUACAGAGAGGACCGCCUUCUUCUUCUUCUUCAGACUGAAGCCACACUGACACCUGCCACGGCCACGUGGUCCUGACAGGGAAUGGAAAAGAUCUCAAUUAGUUCACCAGGACAAAGCCAUAGUUUUGGCCAUAUUGUACCAACAUCUCAGGUGCUGAAUCCUACCUGAGCAUGUUUUCCUCGCCCUGGUUCCUUUUCCUGUCCUCCUCCACCAGCUUCCUCAGCCCACAGCUCAGCUCUUGAGGCUUGGCCUGCACUGCUGACUCCCGCGGCGUGACGUCACACCUCACCCCUGCAUCCACCCUGCGCCUGCAGCCCUGGAUGCUCUGGCCCAGAGAGGGACACUCUCCCAGGAACUCCUCCUUGCCUGUACAUCUCACCUGGUCCAGGUGGAUGGGCCCUUUCCCCUGACCGAACCCUCCAGCUGCGACAGCUCCGCCACUGAAGAGAGGGAAGGGGGAGAAAAUGUGAUUCUUUGAGCAUUUUUGUUUUACAAGUGUUACUCUCCGUCUCUUCCAUGCAUAGAAAUAUUAACCUGUGUCCAAGCUGUCUGCACACCACGGCUGCAUUCAGGUUGUUCCAGCCUGAGUCACAAAUACUUCCCCAGUCACCAUGGAGAUACACCUCGACUCGACCCUCCUUUCUGCUGCUGCCACCCACUAGACGCACCAGGGGACCUGACAGGAAGAAAACACACGCUUCCAAUUCAUAUUCAUGUCAGUGCACCUACUCACUGAGAGCGAGUUAUAUGUCCAGUGACGGUGUUAAAUGUCAUCUGCAGCCUGGUGCCUCUUUAUUCAGCCUCUAUUCUCAUUCUAAUGGACUGUGUGUCUACAGGAGGUGCAGUAAACACGUCUUUAUUCUCUCUGCUGUCAACACGUGGCAUUUAAACUCACACUGAGGUAACGAUACAGCACUUGAUAAAUAGAUUAGGUAGAAACUUCUUGUAUUUAUCAUUGCUAUGAUUCAUUUUGUCUUAAAUUGAGUCUGAUGCAAUUUCUGCAAUAAAGUAACGCAAACAGCUCACAGCCUGGCACGACACCAUCGCUCUGCAGGGACACUUUUGCUACAAAAUUAAUUGCAGUUGCACAGUCACCAAUCUUCUGCAGUGCAGUGAAAUGAUCCUGUUGUUUUUGCUGGUUUCUUUCUGCCUUCCUUUGUUCUUUGUUUUGUAGCUACAACAGCUUACCAAAUUUGAAAAAAACUCACAAAAAAUUACACAGCGCUAUGGUGUGCUUUCAAAGUCGGGGCUAGUUCUAAUUGUGGCACAGCAAGGUUCAAUUUAUUUAUAUAGAGGUUAUUUCAAAGUGCUAUACAGAGACAUAAUGAAAUCUCUUAAAAAUGUACAACUCAGUAAAAUAUUGAGAAAACUGUUAAAUUAAUGAAGCUGUGAGAAAAUAGUUAAUUUA
Molecule: long non-coding RNA, 2391 nt
Organism: Centropristis striata (black sea bass)
Lineage: Eukaryota; Metazoa; Chordata; Actinopteri; Perciformes; Serranidae
Exons: 5
Source: RefSeq, a predicted model, not a curated record